GGUAGGGUGGCAUAGUGGUUUGAGUGUUGGACUACAUCUCUGGAGACCAGGGUUCAAUUCCUGCUUGGCCA
This 71-nucleotide transfer RNA is filed under the name Phrynosoma platyrhinos (Desert horned lizard). Its description in RNAcentral is "tRNA-OTHER". Lineage: Eukaryota; Metazoa; Chordata; Lepidosauria; Squamata; Phrynosomatidae. The record is from RNAcentral.